GACGAACGCUGGCGGCGUGCCUAAUACAUGCAAGUAGAACGCUGAAGGAGGAGCUUGCUUCUCUGGAUGAGUUGCGAACGGGUGAGUAACGCGUAGGUAACCUGCCUGGUAGCGGGGGAUAACUAUUGGAAACGAUAGCUAAUACCGCAUAAUAGUAGAUGUUGCAUGACAUUUGCUUAAAAGGUGCAAUUGCAUCACUACCAGAUGGACCUGCGUUGUAUUAGCUAGUUGGUGAGGUAACGGCCCACCAAGGCGACGAUACAUAGCCGACCUGAGAGGGUGAUCGGCCACACUGGGACUGAGACACGGCCCAGACUCCUACGGGAGGCAGCAGUAGGGAAUCUUCGGCAAUAGACGGAAGUCUGACCGAGCAACGCCGCGUGAGUGAAGAAGGUUUUCGGAUCGUAAAGCUCUGUUGUAAGAGAAGAACGAGUGUGAGAGUGGAAAGUUCACACUGUGACGGUAUCUUACCAGAAAGGGACGGCUAACUACGUG
RNAcentral lists this ribosomal RNA (495 nucleotides) under uncultured bacterium. RNAcentral's name for it is "partial 16S ribosomal RNA". It matches the Rfam family "Bacterial small subunit ribosomal RNA", at positions 28 to 507 of the family's 1533-position model. The record is from RNAcentral.